UGAUAAUAGUAGUAAGUGCAAGUAACAUUUAUUAAGCUCUUAGCUUAUAUAACUGAAUUCUGAUUUUGACAUCCCGUGGUAGGUACUACCAUGACCUCAAUUUCACAAAAAGAAAUAGAGGUUUACAUAGAUUAAGGCACUGCCCCAUUUUGACAGGUUGUCAAUUGACAGAGUGGGAGACUGUAAACAGGUCUAUUUAACCUGAGUCUUUCAUUAUCGUAACCACAACUCAUUGACAUCUAAUAUAGGCUUAUCCCAUUCUCCUACAUGCUCUUGCUUUUAGCUCUUAAAGCUUCAGCCCAGUUUGCAGUUCUGUGCCUUUGACUACUUCCUAUCUCCACUUGUUUAAGAUGGGCAUUCAAAAUAGUACUUUUCAAGCAAUUUGACAAUGAGACAAAGAAGGGAGUAUGGUGGUGGCUGGAGGAGGAAGUGGAGUUCAGAAUAAUUUUCUUUAAAUGGUGGAGAUUUGAAUAUGAUUCCAAGUUGCAAAAAAGAUGCCAGGAUUCAGCAAGAGAGAUUGAAGAUACAAGAAAAAUGCUCUUCUGACUUUGUUUUCCUGUUUAUGUUAACAGUCAAAAGUGAGAAAACAGAGGGAAAAUGAGGCAAUUAACAAAGAUACAAAUAAUUCCAGAAGAUUUCAGCAUAGCAGAUAAAAUACAGCAAAUCCUAACCAGCACAGGUUUUAGUGAUAAAUGGGCCCAUUCCAUAGACACAGAUGAUUUCAUCAGGUAAUUACAUUUUUGUGUUCGUAAGCGUUUACAUGUCUUUACUGUGACACCUUCAGAUUAGAGAUUUUAAAGGCUUUUAAGCGGUAUAAGGUGCUACCUGGGAUAGUUAUUGCAUAGCACUUUCAUGGCAUGGAAUAGUGUUUGGUGUAGAAGAUGAA
RNAcentral lists this long non-coding RNA (886 nucleotides) under Papio anubis (olive baboon). RNAcentral's name for it is "lncRNA (ENSPANG00000050162.1)". The record is from RNAcentral. Lineage: Eukaryota; Metazoa; Chordata; Mammalia; Primates; Cercopithecidae.